RNAcentral lists this ribosomal RNA (421 nucleotides) under uncultured bacterium. RNAcentral's name for it is "SSU rRNA". It matches the Rfam family "Bacterial small subunit ribosomal RNA", at positions 370 to 808 of the family's 1533-position model. The record is from RNAcentral.
CAUGGGGGAACCCUGNAUGCAGCGACGCCGCGUGGAGGAAGAAGGUUUUCCGAUUGUAAACUCCUGUCGUUAGGGACGAUAAUGACGGUACCUAACAAGAAAGCACCGGCUAACUACGUGCCAGCAGCCGCGGUAAAACGUAGGGUGCAAGCGUUGUCCGGAAUUACUGGGUGUAAAGGGAGCGCAGGCGGGAAGACAAGUUGGAAGUGAAAACCAUGGGCUCAACCCAUGAAUUGCUUUCAAAACUGUUUUUCUUGAGUAGUGCAGAGGUAGGCGGAAUUCCCGGUGUAGCGGUGGAAUGCGUAGAUAUCGGGAGGAACACCAGUGGCGAAGGCGGCCUACUGGGCACCAACUGACGCUGAGGCUCGAAAGUGUGGGUAGCAAACAGGAUUAGAUACCCUGGUAGUCCAAGGGCGAAUUC